RNAcentral lists this ribosomal RNA (447 nucleotides) under uncultured bacterium. Its description in RNAcentral is "bacterial SSU rRNA". It matches the Rfam family "Bacterial small subunit ribosomal RNA", at positions 330 to 797 of the family's 1533-position model. The record is from RNAcentral.
UCCAGACUCCUACGGGAGGCAGCAGUGGGGAAUAUUGCACAAUGGGGGAAACCCUGAUGCAGCGACGCCGCGUGAGCGAUGAAGUAUUUCGGUAUGUAAAGCUCUAUCAGCAGGGAAGAAGAUGACGGUACCUGACUAAGAAGCCCUGGCUAACUACGUGCCAGCAGCCGCGGUAAUACGUAGGGGGCAAGCGUUAUCCGGAUUUACUGGGUGUAAAGGGAGCGUAGACGGCGAUGCAAGCCAGAUGUGAAAGCCCGGGGCUCAACCCCGGGACUGCAUUUGGAACUGUGUGGCUGGAGUGUCGGAGAGGCAGGCGGAAUUCCUAGUGUAGCGGUGAAAUGCGUAGAUAUUAGGAAGAACACCAGUGGCGAAGGCGGCUUGCUGGACAGUAACUGACGUUGAGGCUCGAAAGCGUGGGGAGCAAACAGGAUUAGAUACCCGCGUACA